UGUAUCACAGCUGGAAUAGAACUUUAUACGUAACGAUUCGGUAUCUUCUGUCUAAAAUGGAUAUGUGUGAACGAUGAUUACGUAAGCCACUGUUCCAGCAUGGGCGCUCACGUGGUCAUUCCUGAUGAUGAUGACGAGAACAUAUUUAUACGAAACAUGAGUUCCGCACCAACAACAUUUGUGUGGAUCGGAAUUGAAAAAGAAGUUUCACUGAAUACAUUGUUGAGUUCCCAUGACAACAAAGCUGUCACCUACGUGCGGUGGAGAAAUGGAGAACCAAACGGUCACACGUAUGAAUUGUGCCUCAUCUGGAUUCACCUAGAACUAUCAUGGGAUGAUGCUCCAUGCCAUUAUACAGCUAUUGUAGCUUGUGAAAAGGAGUUGGGCAAUUGAAAUCGAUGUUCACUCGCUUUGCUGUUACUGCUUUUUUCUAUCUUUCACCGCGGAGGUUCCAUUACAUCAGUAGGCAUGUAGUGUCAUUUUUUGCGCAAACAGUAUAGGGAUAACACACG
Long non-coding RNA from Dreissena polymorpha, 512 nucleotides. RefSeq lists it as uncharacterized. Lineage: Eukaryota; Metazoa; Mollusca; Bivalvia; Myida; Dreissenidae. The record is from RefSeq and is a predicted model, not a curated record. The transcript is spliced from 3 exons.